AGUAAGUAAAGAGGCAAGAAAAAAUGUCUCCCCGUGGUUCAAAAGCCAACUAAAGUUUACCAAGAGCUGUGACCUGUGGUUAAAAUGUCCUCAGAGGCCAGCUCUCAUCUGAUUUCAACCUGAAGCCCCAUUUCCUAUCAAGAGAGCCAUUUGGCUCCUCUCUUAAGCUCAGCAGCCCUGAGGUGUGGUAGCCUCACGCUGACCCAUACAGAAUGCAACAGAACUGUCCCUGCUGCAGAAGUCUCAGGGUUCUGCCCCAACUGCAUAGACUUCUUUCAUGGAACCGGCUCCUCUAUCCCCACAAGGCUUCUCCCCAGCACAGCUUCUACCUAGAAUCAGACGGAGAGCUUUAGACCAGAGAGAAAACGGAGGCGUGGUGACACCAAGUGACAUGCUCCAAGCCGCUGAACAUGUUGGUGGCAGAGCUAGAACUCGACACCAAGUCUCCUGGCUUUAGUCCACUGUGGCUCUCAAUCCUCGCACACGCAGAGCACAGACCGUUUUUGAUGGUGCUGCAGGGAACAAGGCCCCACCAGUGUGUGCUCUUCCUGUGUGUCCAAAUUUCCACCAAAGAGGGCUCCUCCCAGGAGAUUGGCUGCCGAACCUGUUCUUCCACGGCAGAAGCGGCGCAGCUAGCCCAGCACGACUCUGCUUAUUGUUACGCUUCUGCCACAUGUGUGUAAAUUUGUAAGGAACUUGCCGCUCCUGGCUGAAGACCCAGGGAGCUUUUGCGCUGUUAAUCUGUUUUCCUUUUUGCCCUCAGCCUUUGCUCUUCAGGGGAGAGGCCGUCGAUAAGGUCCAAUGGGGUGGGGUGACACCUCUUGGGCUCAGAAUCUCAAGGGUCCCAAGGUCCAGUCAGUGAGAGCCUUCUGUCUACAUGCCACCCUGUCCCCUCUGUGUGGAGCCCUCAGCAGGACCCUGGCCACAGGGCUCUGGAGCAAUAAUAUUACCCCAUGACAACUGUCGUGACUGCUACCUCAAAAAGUAAGACAGUCCUGCCAUCUACGUUCAUGGAGCUCCGAGGAGCAGCUCAGUUCUGUUUGUUGUGACAGGAUUUUAUAGCAAAAUUUGCAUGAAAGACAUGAAGCUCAGCAAUUGGUUUGCGACAGAGGCGUUUUCUUGCCAAAUGAGGAAGUGAGAUGAUCAGAACUGGCUUUAGCAUGAGCCUGGAUUGGGGAACUCAGCUGGUUCUGGGCUCAUACAACUUCACCUGUGAAGGUAUAUGGAAUUCAUGGUCAGCCCACAUCUUCUAGCUGCAGGUUCAGUUCAGGGUGAUCCCUACCUGGAGUUCUAGACUACCAGGCCAGUUUUGGAGGGUCCCGAAGGUAUGAAUAAGUGGUCCUGCAAACCCCAGCCCACCCUCACAUAUCCUAAAAGAAACUAUGGCAGUUGGA
Molecule: long non-coding RNA, 1394 nt
Filed under: Homo sapiens (human)
Lineage: Eukaryota; Metazoa; Chordata; Mammalia; Primates; Hominidae
Description: long intergenic non-protein coding RNA 2038
Source: RNAcentral